RNAcentral lists this transfer RNA (76 nucleotides) under Planctomycetota bacterium. RNAcentral's name for it is "tRNA-Asn". It matches the Rfam family "tRNA". From Rfam's summary of the family: Transfer RNA (tRNA) molecules are approximately 80 nucleotides in length. Lineage: Bacteria; Pseudomonadati; Planctomycetota. The record is from RNAcentral.
AGGGGUGUGGUGUCAAUUGGUAGCACAUCCGGUUGUUACCCGGAAAGUCGGGGUUCGAAUCCCUGCGCCCCUGCCA